CCUACGGGGGGCAGCAGUAGGGAAUCUUCGGCAAUGGACGCAAGUCUGACCGAGCAACGCCGCGUGAGUGAAGAAGGUUUUCGGAUCGUAAAACUCUGUUGUCAGCCAAGAACGAGAAGAAGAGGGAAUGCUUUUUCUGUGACGGUCGCUGACCAGAAAGCCACGGCUAACUACGUGCCAGCAGCCGCGGUAAUACGUAGGUGGCAAGCGUUGUCCGGAUUUAUUGGGCGUAAAGCGAGCGCAGGCGGUCUUUUAAGUCUGAUGUGAAAGCCCCCGGCUUAACCGGGGAGGGUCAUUGGAAACUGGGAGACUUGAGUGCAGAAGAGGAGAGUGGAAUUCCAUGUGUAGCGGUGAAAUGCGUAGAUAUAUGGAGGAACACCAGUGGCGAAGGCGGCUCUCUGGUCUGACACUGACGCUGAGGCUCGAAAGCGUGGGGAGCAAACAGGAUUAGAUACCCGUGUAGUC
This 465-nucleotide ribosomal RNA is filed under the name uncultured Tetragenococcus sp. RNAcentral describes it as "bacterial SSU rRNA". It matches the Rfam family "Bacterial small subunit ribosomal RNA", at positions 338 to 795 of the family's 1533-position model. Lineage: Bacteria; Bacillati; Bacillota; Bacilli; Lactobacillales; Enterococcaceae. The record is from RNAcentral.